GAGUUUGAUUCUGGCUCAGGACAAACGCUGGCGGCGUGCUUAACACAUGCAAGUCGAACGAUGAAACGGAACGGAAAUUUUCGGAUGGAAGUUCUGUGGAUUAGUGGCGGACGGGUGAGUAAUGCAUGAAGAACCUGCCUUUCACAUAGGAAUAGCCUCGGGAAACCGGGAUUAAUACCAAAUGACACUCCGAGAUCGCAUGUUUUUGGGGUUAAAGAUUUUAUCGGUGAAAGAUGGCUUCAUGUCCCAUUAGCUGGUUGGUGAGGUAACGGCUCACCAAGGCGACGAUGGGUAGCCGGCCUGAGAGGGUGAACGGCCACAUUGGAACUGAGACACGGUCCAAACUCCUACGGGAGGCAGCAGUGGGGAAUAUUGCACAAUGGAGGAAACUCUGAUGCAGCGACGCCGCGUGAGCGAUGAAGGUCUUCGGAUCGUAAAGCUCUGUCCUAAGGGACGAUAAUGACG
This 465-nucleotide ribosomal RNA is filed under the name Tissierella sp. canine oral taxon 029. RNAcentral describes it as "bacterial SSU rRNA". It matches the Rfam family "Bacterial small subunit ribosomal RNA", at positions 9 to 456 of the family's 1533-position model. The record is from RNAcentral. Lineage: Bacteria; Bacillati; Bacillota; Tissierellia; Tissierellales; Tissierellaceae.